This 379-nucleotide long non-coding RNA is filed under the name Fukomys damarensis (Damara mole-rat). Its description in RNAcentral is "lncRNA (ENSFDAG00000023080.1)". Lineage: Eukaryota; Metazoa; Chordata; Mammalia; Rodentia; Bathyergidae. The record is from RNAcentral.
CACGGUCUUAGUUGGGGCUUUUUCGGAGGUGGCUGAAUCUGGAGUGUGUGAUGCUGGGACUAAAGAUGUGUUAUUACUAAAUCAGUCCACGGAUUGGUUUGGGACUGCCCUAAUCCUGGUAGUCUAGAUAAGAUAAAAGGGGCAGAAAGAUACUGUUAAGGUUUCCUUGUUGCUUUUUGCUACCUCCUGUCAGCCGCCAUGAACUGUUAUCCCUCUGCCAUGUGCCACCCUGCCUUGGAGCCAGCCAAUUAAGGACUGAAAUCUCUACAAACGUGAUAGCAGAGACACACGCUGAAUUGGAUACUACUACAAAACUGUAGACCCCAGAAGAUAACCACAGGUUUGAAAUAAUAGAGAAAUCUCUUUUUCUUCUUCUUUU